This 66-nucleotide transfer RNA is filed under the name Macrostemum radiatum. RNAcentral's name for it is "tRNA-Glu". Lineage: Eukaryota; Metazoa; Arthropoda; Insecta; Trichoptera; Hydropsychidae. The record is from RNAcentral.
UAUUUUUUAGUUUAACUAAAAACUUUACAAUUUCAAUGUAAAAAUAAUAGAAUCUAUUAAAAAUAU